CUCAGGACGAACGCUGGCGGCAUGCCUAAUACAUGCAAGUCGAGCGAACAGAUGAAGUGCUUGCACUUCUGACGUUAGCGGCGAACGGGUGAGUAACACGUAAGGAAUCUACCUAUAAGCGGGGGAUAACAUUCGGAAACGGGUGCUAAUACCGCAUAAUAUYUUCUUCCGCAUGGAAGAAGAUUGAAAGACGGCUCUGCUGUCACUUAUAGAUGACCUUGCGGUGCAUUAGUUAGUUGGUGGGGUAAUGGCCUACCAAGACGAUGAUGCAUAGCCGACCUGAGAGGGUGAUCGGCCACAUUGGGACUGAGACACGGCCCAAACUCCUACGGGAGGCAGCAGUAGGGAAUCUUCCGCAAUGGGCGAAAGCCUGACGGAGCAAUGCCGCGUGAGUGAAGAAGGCCUUCGGGUCGUAAAACUCUGUUAUAAGAGAAGAACAAAUUGUAGAGUAACUGCUACAGUCUUGACGGUAUCUUAUCAGAAAGCCACGGCUAACUACGUGCCAGCAGCCGCGGUAAUACGUAGGUGGCAAGCGUUGUCCGGAUUUAUUGGGCGUAAAGGGAGCGCAGGUGGUUUCUUAAGUCUGAUGUGAAAGCCCACGGCUUAACCGUGGAGGGUCAUUGGAAACUGGGAAACUUGAGUACAGAAGAGGAAUGUGGAACUCCAUGUGUAGCGGUGGAAUGCGUAGAUAUAUGGAAGAACACCAGUGGCGAAGGCGACAUUCUGGUCUGUUACUGACACUGAGGCUCGAAAGCGUGGGGAGCAAACAGGAUUAG
This 776-nucleotide ribosomal RNA is filed under the name Aerococcus viridans. RNAcentral describes it as "bacterial SSU rRNA". It matches the Rfam family "Bacterial small subunit ribosomal RNA", at positions 23 to 781 of the family's 1533-position model. Lineage: Bacteria; Bacillati; Bacillota; Bacilli; Lactobacillales; Aerococcaceae. The record is from RNAcentral.